Molecule: long non-coding RNA, 502 nt
Organism: Gasterosteus aculeatus aculeatus (three-spined stickleback)
Lineage: Eukaryota; Metazoa; Chordata; Actinopteri; Perciformes; Gasterosteidae
Source: Ensembl
GUCGACGCUCAAAGCCCCACUGUGAGCUGACACGUGUGCACAAGGACGCCUCACAGAGCCCCUUAAAGGCUGGCGCAUGCGUCUGCGUCGUUUUGUCGACGCACUUGUUUCAAUUCAUGGUUCUUAAAGUCUUGCGUGUGUUGCAGAGCAAUUCACCGCCAGCACAACAGGGCAGAGUGGGCGGCGUGGCUGCUGCAGAAGGAGAAAGCUGAGCUUAAAGUCCAGUUGGCCGACCUGAGACGAGGCCAAGCCUUUCUGCUGGACUUCAGAGAGCUCAACCGACUUUACCUGGACCACCGACGCAAGCGGCCCAAAGAAUAAGAGACGUACGGGGCGGCCAGCUUGCCUGCUCUGCUGCUGGAGCCCAACAGGUCAGGACCGCUGAGCACCAGCUGUAAGGGAGCAACCAGCAGCCCAGAGGGAGGCGGAAGAAGAACCCGACCGAGGAACCGUGUGUGGAAUGAGAGCCAGCACAGAACGUGCACAGGUGGAAUACUUGGAG